Molecule: unclassified non-coding RNA, 433 nt
Filed under: soil metagenome
Description: partial contains 5.8S ribosomal RNA, internal transcribed spacer 2, and large subunit ribosomal RNA
Rfam family: 5.8S ribosomal RNA (bases 4-119)
Source: RNAcentral
GAUAAGAACGUAGCGAAAUGCGAUACGUAAUGUGAAUUGCAGAAUUCAGUGAAUCAUCGAAUCUUUGAACGCAUAUUGCGCUCUUUGGUAUUCCGAAGAGCAUGCUUGUUUGAGUAUCAGUAAACACCUCAAAGCUUUUGGAUUUUUUAAUCGAAAAGCUUUGGACUUGAGCAAUCCCAACACCAAUCUUUUUGAGAUCGGUGGCGGGUUGCUUGAAAUGCAGGUGCAGCUGGACAUUCUCCUGAGCUAAAAGCAUAUUCAUUUAGUCCCGUCAAACGGAUUAUUACUUUUGCUGCAGCUAACAUAAAGGGAGUUUGACCGUAUUGGCUGACUGAUGCAGGAUUUCACAAGGGUCGGCAACGAUUCUUGUUAAACUCGAUCUCAAAUCAAGUAAGACUACCCGCUGAACUUAAGCAUAUCAAUAAGCGGAGGA